RNAcentral lists this small RNA (176 nucleotides) under Arabidopsis thaliana (thale cress). Its description in RNAcentral is "ATSL266840". The record is from RNAcentral. Lineage: Eukaryota; Viridiplantae; Streptophyta; Magnoliopsida; Brassicales; Brassicaceae.
UGGGUGCAGAAAUGUCUGGGCUCAAAUUCCAGUUGAUCAAAAAGCAAUAGGCAUUAAGAACAACUAAUCUAGAAGAGAUCUAUAAAUCAAACUCAACCACCUAACAUACCGAGGAUUCUAAACUACUUUAACCCAUCCUCAGAAACCUAGUCACUACUCAGACAUCAUUGCUGAAA